Molecule: ribosomal RNA, 2791 nt
Filed under: Escherichia coli
Lineage: Bacteria; Pseudomonadati; Pseudomonadota; Gammaproteobacteria; Enterobacterales; Enterobacteriaceae
Description: bacterial LSU rRNA
Rfam family: Bacterial large subunit ribosomal RNA
Source: RNAcentral
AGCGUACACGGUGGAUGCCCUGGCAGUCAGAGGCGAUGAAGGACGUGCUAAUCUGCGAUAAGCGUCGGUAAGGUGAUAUGAACCGUUAUAACCGGCGAUUUCCGAAUGGGGAAACCCAGUGUGAUUCGUCACACUAUCAUUAACUGAAUCCAUAGGUUAAUGAGGCGAACCGGGGGAACUGAAACAUCUAAGUACCCCGAGGAAAAGAAAUCAACCGAGAUUCCCCCAGUAGCGGCGAGCGAACGGGGAGCAGCCCAGAGCCUGAAUCAGUGUGUGUGUUAGUGGAAGCGUCUGGAAAGGCGCGCGAUACAGGGUGACAGCCCCGUACACAAAAAUGCACAUACUGUGAGCUCGAUGAGUAGGGCGGGACACGUGGUAUCCUGUCUGAAUAUGGGGGGACCAUCCUCCAAGGCUAAAUACUCCUGACUGACCGAUAGUGAACCAGUACCGUGAGGGAAAGGCGAAAAGAACCCCGGCGAGGGGAGUGAAAAAGAACCUGAAACCGUGUACGUACAAGCAGUGGGAGCACAGAGCAAUCUGUGUGACUGCGUACCUUUUGUAUAAUGGGUCAGCGACUUAUAUUCUGUAGCAAGGUUAACCGAAUAGGGGAGCCGAAGGGAAACCGAGUCUUAACUGGGCGUUAAGUUGCAGGGUAUAGACCCGAAACCCGGUGAUCUAGCCAUGGGCAGGUUGAAGGUUGGGUAACACUAACUGGAGGACCGAACCGACUAAUGUUGAAAAAUUAGCGGAUGACUUGUGGCUGGGGGUGAAAGGCCAAUCAAACCGGGAGAUAGCUGGUUCUCCCCGAAAGCUAUUUAGGUAGCGCCUCGUGAAUUCAUCUCCGGGGGUAGAGCACUGUUUCGGCAAGGGGGUCAUCCCGACUUACCAACCCGAUGCAAACUGCGAAUACCGGAGAAUGUUAUCACGGGAGACACACGGCGGGUGCUAACGUCCGUCGUGAAGAGGGAAACAACCCAGACCGCCAGCUAAGGUCCCAAAGUCAUGGUUAAGUGGGAAACGAUGUGGGAAGGCCCAGACAGCCAGGAUGUUGGCUUAGAAGCAGCCAUCAUUUAAAGAAAGCGUAAUAGCUCACUGGUCGAGUCGGCCUGCGCGGAAGAUGUAACGGGGCUAAACCAUGCACCGAAGCUGCGGCAGCGACGCUUAUGCGUUGUUGGGUAGGGGAGCGUUCUGUAAGCCUGUGAAGGUGUGCUGUGAGGCAUGCUGGAGGUAUCAGAAGUGCGAAUGCUGACAUAAGUAACGAUAAAGCGGGUGAAAAGCCCGCUCGCCGGAAGACCAAGGGUUCCUGUCCAACGUUAAUCGGGGCAGGGUGAGUCGACCCCUAAGGCGAGGCCGAAAGGCGUAGUCGAUGGGAAACAGGUUAAUAUUCCUGUACUUGGUGUUACUGCGAAGGGGGGACGGAGAAGGCUAUGUUGGCCGGGCGACGGUUGUCCCGGUUUAAGCGUGUAGGCUGGUUUUCCAGGCAAAUCCGGAAAAUCAAGGCUGAGGCGUGAUGACGAGGCACUACGGUGCUGAAGCAACAAAUGCCCUGCUUCCAGGAAAAGCCUCUAAGCAUCAGGUAACAUCAAAUCGUACCCCAAACCGACACAGGUGGUCAGGUAGAGAAUACCAAGGCGCUUGAGAGAACUCGGGUGAAGGAACUAGGCAAAAUGGUGCCGUAACUUCGGGAGAAGGCACGCUGAUAUGUAGGUGAAGUCCCUCGCGGAUGGAGCUGAAAUCAGUCGAAGAUACCAGCUGGCUGCAACUGUUUAUUAAAAACACAGCACUGUGCAAACACGAAAGUGGACGUAUACGGUGUGACGCCUGCCCGGUGCCGGAAGGUUAAUUGAUGGGGUUAGCGGUAACGCGAAGCUCUUGAUCGAAGCCCCGGUAAACGGCGGCCGUAACUAUAACGGUCCUAAGGUAGCGAAAUUCCUUGUCGGGUAAGUUCCGACCUGCACGAAUGGCGUAAUGAUGGCCAGGCUGUCUCCACCCGAGACUCAGUGAAAUUGAACUCGCUGUGAAGAUGCAGUGUACCCGCGGCAAGACGGAAAGACCCCGUGAACCUUUACUAUAGCUUGACACUGAACAUUGAGCCUUGAUGUGUAGGAUAGGUGGGAGGCUUUGAAGUGUGGACGCCAGUCUGCAUGGAGCCGGCCUUGAAAUACCACCCUUUAAUGUUUGAUGUUCUAACGUUGGCCCCUGAUCGGGGUUGCGGACAGUGUCUGGUGGGUAGUUUGACUGGGGCGGUCUCCUCCUAAAGAGUAACGGAGGAGCACGAAGGUUGGCUAAUCCUGGUCGGACAUCAGGAGGUUAGUGCAAUGGCAUAAGCCAGCUUGACUGCGAGCGUGACGGCGCGAGCAGGUGCGAAAGCAGGUCAUAGUGAUCCGGUGGUUCUGAAUGGAAGGGCCAUCGCUCAACGGAUAAAAGGUACUCCGGGGAUAACAGGCUGAUACCGCCCAAGAGUUCAUAUCGACGGCGGUGUUUGGCACCUCGAUGUCGGCUCAUCACAUCCUGGGGCUGAAGUAGGUCCCAAGGGUAUGGCUGUUCGCCAUUUAAAGUGGUACGCGAGCUGGGUUUAGAACGUCGUGAGACAGUUCGGUCCCUAUCUGCCGUGGGCGCUGGAGAACUGAGGGGGGCUGCUCCUAGUACGAGAGGACCGGAGUGGACGCAUCACUGGUGUUCGGGUUGUCAUGCCAAUGGCACUGCCCGGUAGCUAAAUGCGGAAGAGAUAAGUGCUGAAAGCAUCUAAGCACGAAACUUGCCCCGAGAUGAGUUCUCCCUGACUCCUUGA